GAUGAACGCUGGCGGCGUGCCUAAUACAUGCAAGUCGAGCGAACGGACGAGAAGCUUGCUCCUCUGAUGUUAGCGGCGGACGGGUGGGUAACACGUGGAUAACCUACCUAUAAGACUGGGAUAACUUCGGGAAACCGGAGCUAAUACCGGAUGAUAUUUUGAACCGCAUGGUUCAAAAGUGAAAGACGGUCUUGCUGUCACUUAUAGAUGGAUCCGCGCUGCAUUAGCUAGUUGGUAAGGUAACGGCUUACCAAGGCAACGAUGCAUAGCCGACCUGAGAGGGUGAUCGGCCACACUGGAACUGAGACACGGUCCAGACUCCUACGGGAGGCAGCAGUAGGGAAUCUUCCGCAAUGGGCGAAAGCCUGACGGAGCAACGCCGCGUGAGUGAUGAAGGUCUUCGGAUCGUAAAACUCUGUUAUUAGGGAAGAACAUAUGUGUAAGUAACUGUGCACGUCUUGACGGUACCUAAUCAGAAAGCCACGGCUAACUACGUG
RNAcentral lists this ribosomal RNA (497 nucleotides) under uncultured bacterium. RNAcentral describes it as "partial 16S ribosomal RNA". It matches the Rfam family "Bacterial small subunit ribosomal RNA", at positions 28 to 507 of the family's 1533-position model. The record is from RNAcentral.